Molecule: small RNA, 95 nt
Filed under: Arabidopsis thaliana (thale cress)
Lineage: Eukaryota; Viridiplantae; Streptophyta; Magnoliopsida; Brassicales; Brassicaceae
Description: ATSL195620
Source: RNAcentral
UUCGAAUUAUGAUUUUUGUCUUUUCUUUUGAGUAAGUUUUUUUUUUUUUUUUUGAACAAAGAGUAAGUAAUACUUAAAAACAAUUCCAUGUCCAU